Molecule: long non-coding RNA, 1466 nt
Organism: Cebus imitator (Panamanian white-faced capuchin)
Lineage: Eukaryota; Metazoa; Chordata; Mammalia; Primates; Cebidae
Exons: 2
Source: RefSeq, a predicted model, not a curated record
AUAAGAAUAGAAAUAAGGGAUGUGAUUGUGGACUAGAGAUGCAGUUUUAUUUGGUUCAUUAAUUCUAUAAGGCCAUAAAACAGGUAAUAUAAAAAGCUUCCAUGAUUCUAUUUGUAUGUACAUUAGAAGGAACUUCUAGGUGUUACUGUAAUUCCUUAACAUAUUGUUUCAAUAGCACUAAUUUAAUGCCGAUAUACUCUAGAUGAAGUUUUACAUUGUUUAGCUAUCACUGAUCUCCUGGAAACAACUCACUUUCCUCUUGAGGCUUUGGAUUUGACAUUGCAUUUGACCUUUUAUGUAGCAAUUGACAAGUGCCAGGGUAAUGAUGAAUUAGAAUCUACCCCCAGGUCCAAGCAUUCUGAGUAAUUCUUGAUUGUCCAUAUCGAGUCAAAUGGUAGGCAUUUCCUAUCACCUAUUUCCAUUCAACAAGAGCACUACAUUCAUUUAGCUAAACUGAUUCCAAAGAGUAGAAGUGCACUGAUCACAACUAAUUUCAAAAUGCUUAUUAUUAUUAUUAUUUUUCUAAGACAGAGUCUUGCUUUGUUGCCUAGGCUGGAGUGCUGUGGUAUGAUCUCAGCUCAAUGCAACCUCUGCCUCCUCCCAGGCUUAAGCGAUCCCCCUGCCUCGGCCUUCCAAGUAGCUGAGAUUAUAAUGCCUGCCACCAUGCCGGGCUAAUUUUUGUAUUUUUAAUAGAGAUGGGGUUUUACCAUGUUGCCCAGGCUGGUCUUGAACUCCUGACCUCAGGUGACAUGCCUGCCUCAGGCUCUCAAAGUGUUGGGAUUACAGGCAUGAGCCAUCGUGCCCAGCUGUCAAAAUGCUUUUUAUUUCUGCAUAUGUUGAAUACUUUUUGCAAUUACAAAGUUUUGAAGGUAAAAUUACAAAUCUUGAAAUUAAAAAGGCAAAAAUGUAAAGGAGCCAAAAUUGUAAAUCAAGUAUUUGAAAAAUGAAGAUUGGAAACUAUUUUGUAUUAUAUUCACAAAUGCUUUUAUACUUUUCCUGUGUAUACUUAAAAAACCAACAACUAGAUCAGGAUAGCCACAUGAGGAACACUUUUUAUUAUCACUCAAUAUUUUUAGACAGAGCCUGAUCCUAAGCUUAAAAGUGGGCUUGAUUCUGCAGUAAAUCUUUUAAAACUGCCUUGACACACAGAAACCUUUUUGAAAAUAGACACUCCCAGAAGUCUUUCGUUUGUAUGGUCACACACUGAUGCUUAGAUGUCCCAAGUAGUCUUGAUGACCAAAGUCAUUUUUUUUCCAUCUUUAGAAAACUACAUGGGAACAAACAGAUCAAGCAGAUCUGAAGCUACCGUGUGUGUGAAUGAACACUCAUGCUUCAUUCCAGAAUGGUGUACAUCUAUUUUGGACUGUAUAUUGUGUUUGUGUAUUUAUGCUUUGAUUCAUAGUAACUUCUUAUGUAAUUGAAUUCACUUGCAUUGAACACAAACUGUAAAUAAAAAAUGGCUGAAA